This 98-nucleotide transfer RNA is filed under the name Actinoplanes digitatis. RNAcentral describes it as "tRNA-Ser". Lineage: Bacteria; Bacillati; Actinomycetota; Actinomycetes; Micromonosporales; Micromonosporaceae. The record is from RNAcentral.
UCCGCCGCUGGUCAUCGUCGGUGCGGGGCUGGUGCUGCUGCUGGUGGCGCUGCCGGUCGCGGCGUUCCUGAUCGUCCGGUCGCGCCGGGCCGGCGGGU